AUUCGAUCCGAGAUGGGUAUGGACGGGUACUGAUAUGAAUUUUUUACUAAGGAGAUGGGUAUGGAUAUUGAUCGAUCCGAUCCAUACCCAAUCUGUUGCCACCCCUAUCUAAAAGGAAAGUGAUCCAUGCACCAAUCUCAUCAAAUCCAUCACUAUUCCUAUGAUGAUCCAUUGAUCGGGAGUAUUUAGGAAUUAAUCACCAAUAACAUAUGUGUCAAAUUAUCAAUUUUUGAGAAUAUAU
This 241-nucleotide long non-coding RNA is filed under the name Elaeis guineensis (African oil palm). RNAcentral's name for it is "long non-coding RNA (EGUI_LNC020747)". Lineage: Eukaryota; Viridiplantae; Streptophyta; Magnoliopsida; Arecales; Arecaceae. The record is from RNAcentral.